Molecule: ribosomal RNA, 296 nt
Filed under: uncultured bacterium
Lineage: Bacteria
Description: partial 16S ribosomal RNA
Rfam family: Bacterial small subunit ribosomal RNA
Source: RNAcentral
GGUAGUCCACGCCGUAAACGAUGGGCACUAGGUGUGGGGGGUGUCGACUCCCUCCGUGCCGAAGCUAACGCAUUAAGUGCCCCGCCUGGGGAGUACGGCCGCAAGGCUAAAACUCAAAGGAAUUGACGGGGCCCGCACAAGCAGCGGAGCAUGUGGUUUAAUUCGACGCAACGCGAAGAACCUUACCUGGGCUUGACAUGUGGGUGACCGGCCUGGAAACAGGCCUUCCCUUCGGGGGCACCUUCACAGGUGGUGCAUGGCUGUCGUCAGCUCGUGUCGUGAGAUGUUGGGUUAAG